CCUUCAAUAGCUCAGCUGGUAGAGCGGAGGACUGUAGAGUGAACAUUGGUCUGCGGGCAUCCUUAGGUCGCUGGUUCGAUUCCGGCUCGAAGGA
RNAcentral lists this transfer RNA (94 nucleotides) under Oryctolagus cuniculus (rabbit). It matches the Rfam family "tRNA". Rfam says of the family: Transfer RNA (tRNA) molecules are approximately 80 nucleotides in length. Their secondary structure includes four short double-helical elements and three loops (D, anti-codon, and T loops). Further hydrogen bonds mediate the characteristic L-shaped molecular structure. tRNAs have two regions of fundamental functional importance: the anti-codon, which is responsible for specific mRNA codon recognition, and the 3' end, to which the tRNAs corresponding amino acid is attached (by aminoacyl-tRNA synthetases). tRNAs cope with the degeneracy of the genetic code in two manners: having more than one tRNA (with a specific anti-codon) for a particular amino acid; and 'wobble' base-pairing, i.e. permitting non-standard base-pairing at the 3rd anti-codon position. Lineage: Eukaryota; Metazoa; Chordata; Mammalia; Lagomorpha; Leporidae. The record is from Rfam by way of RNAcentral.